This 73-nucleotide transfer RNA is filed under the name Candida buenavistaensis. Its description in RNAcentral is "tRNA-Lys". It matches the Rfam family "tRNA". From Rfam's summary of the family: Transfer RNA (tRNA) molecules are approximately 80 nucleotides in length. Their secondary structure includes four short double-helical elements and three loops (D, anti-codon, and T loops). Further hydrogen bonds mediate the characteristic L-shaped molecular structure. tRNAs have two regions of fundamental functional importance: the anti-codon, which is responsible for specific mRNA codon recognition, and the 3' end, to which the tRNAs corresponding amino acid is attached (by aminoacyl-tRNA synthetases). tRNAs cope with the degeneracy of the genetic code in two manners: having more than one tRNA (with a specific anti-codon) for a particular amino acid; and 'wobble' base-pairing, i.e. permitting non-standard base-pairing at the 3rd anti-codon position. Lineage: Eukaryota; Fungi; Ascomycota; Pichiomycetes; Serinales; Debaryomycetaceae. The record is from RNAcentral.
GAGUGCGUCGUCCUAAUGGUUAAGACAGCUGACUUUUAAUCAGUUUAUACAGGUUCGAUUCCUGUCGUACUCA